AAGGAAUUAGUUUAAAAAAAACAACAGACUUCGAACCAGUUAACUUAGGUCCACCCCUAAAUUCCUAA
This 68-nucleotide transfer RNA is filed under the name Furcifer oustaleti (Oustalet's chamelion). RNAcentral describes it as "tRNA-Arg". It matches the Rfam family "tRNA". From Rfam's summary of the family: Transfer RNA (tRNA) molecules are approximately 80 nucleotides in length. The record is from RNAcentral. Lineage: Eukaryota; Metazoa; Chordata; Lepidosauria; Squamata; Chamaeleonidae.